CCCUUAGAUGUUCUGGGCCGCACGCGCGCUUCACUGAUGCAUUCAACGAGUCUAAAACCUGGUCUGAUAGGGCUGGGUAAUCUUUUGAAAGUGCAUCGUGAUUGGGAUAGAUGAUUGCAAUUCUUCAUCUUCAACGAGGAAUGCCUAGUAAACGCAAGUCAUCAGCUUGCAUUGAUUACGUCCCUGCCCUUUGUACACACCGCCCGUCGCUCCUACCGAUUGAAUGAUCCGAUGAAUACCAUGGAUUGAGAGUACGAAUGGGUUCGCUCAUUUCUGCUGCUCGAGAAGUGGAGUAAAUCUUAUCAUUUAGAGGAAGGAGAAGUCGUAACA
This 330-nucleotide ribosomal RNA is filed under the name uncultured eukaryote. Its description in RNAcentral is "partial 18S ribosomal RNA". It matches the Rfam family "Eukaryotic small subunit ribosomal RNA", at positions 1470 to 1796 of the family's 1831-position model. The record is from RNAcentral.